UUAUUUAUCAGUGCUGUAUGGUAGCAGAGAAGUUCUUAUAUGAAAAAUCUAGUUCUAACUAUAUAGAAGUGCUUGAUAUGUUUUAAAGUAGAAGUAAUAGAAUAACACUUUAUAAAUAGGUUUUAUAAACUGAUGGAAAAUACUGUGUCUGAAAACAG
This is a long non-coding RNA of Octodon degus (degu), 158 nucleotides long. RefSeq lists it as uncharacterized. Lineage: Eukaryota; Metazoa; Chordata; Mammalia; Rodentia; Octodontidae. The transcript has 3 exons. The record is from RefSeq and is a predicted model, not a curated record.